AUUGAACGCUGGCGGCAUGCUUUACACAUGCAAGUCGAACGGCAGCGCGGGCUUCGGCCUGGCGGCGAGUGGCGAACGGGUGAGUAAUGCAUUGGAACGUGCCCAGUAGUGGGGGAUAGCCCGGCGAAAGCCGGAUUAAUACCGCAUACGACCUGAGGGUGAAAUCGGGGGACCGAAAGGCCUCGCGCUAUUGGAGCGGCCGAUGUCGGAUUAGCUAGUUGGUGGGGUAAAGGCUUACCAAGGCGACGAUCCGUAGCUGGUCUGAGAGGACGACCAGCCACACUGGGACUGAGACACGGCCAAGACUCCUACGGGAGGCAGAAGUGGGGAAUUUUGGACAAUGGGGGAAACCCUGAUCAAGCCAGGCCGCGUGCGGGAAGAAGGCCUUCGGGUUGUAAACCGCUUUUGUUCGGGAAGAAAUCCUCUGGGCUAAUACCCCGGGGGGAUGACGGUACCGGAAGAAUAAGCACCGGCUAACUACGUG
RNAcentral lists this ribosomal RNA (484 nucleotides) under uncultured bacterium. RNAcentral's name for it is "partial 16S ribosomal RNA". It matches the Rfam family "Bacterial small subunit ribosomal RNA", at positions 29 to 507 of the family's 1533-position model. The record is from RNAcentral.